This 468-nucleotide ribosomal RNA is filed under the name uncultured bacterium. RNAcentral's name for it is "bacterial SSU rRNA". It matches the Rfam family "Bacterial small subunit ribosomal RNA", at positions 328 to 796 of the family's 1533-position model. The record is from RNAcentral.
CUACCAGACUCCUACGGGAGGCAGCAGUGAGGAAUAUUGGUCAAUGGCCGAGAGGCUGAACCAGCCAAGUCGCGUGAGGGAAGACGGCCCUACGGGUUGUAAACCUCUUUUGUCGGGGAGCAAAGCGAGUCACGUGUGACUCAUUGAGAGUACCCGAAGAAAAAGCAUCGGCUAACCCCGUGCCAGCAGCCGCGGUAAUACGGAGGAUGCGAGCGUUAUCCGGAUUUAUUGGGUUUAAAGGGUGCGUAGGCGGAGUGUCAAGUCAGCGGUAAAAUUUCGGGGCUCAACCCCGUCGUGCCGUUGAAACUGGCAGUCUCGAGUUGGAGAGAAGUAUGCGGAAUGCGCGGUGUAGCGGUGAAAUGCAUAGAUAUCGCGCAGAACUCCGAUUGCGAAGGCAGCCUACUAAACUGCCACUGACAUUGAUGCUCGAAAGUGUGGGUAUCAAACAGGAUUAGAUACCCCAGUACC